This 253-nucleotide ribosomal RNA is filed under the name uncultured bacterium. Its description in RNAcentral is "partial 16S ribosomal RNA". It matches the Rfam family "Bacterial small subunit ribosomal RNA", at positions 524 to 776 of the family's 1533-position model. The record is from RNAcentral.
UACGAAGGGGGCUAGCGUUGCUCGGAAUUACUGGGCGUAAAGCGCACGUAGGCGGCUUUCUAAGUCGGAGGUGAAAUCCUGGAGCUCAACUCCAGAACUGCCUUCGAUACUGGAGAGCUUGAGUCCGGGAGAGGUGAGUGGAACUCCUAGUGUAGAGGUGAAAUUCGUAGAUAUUAGGAAGAACACCAGUGGCGAAGGCGGCUCACUGGCCCGGUACUGACGCUGAUGUGCGAAAGCGUGGGGAGCAAACAGG